CCUACGGGUUGAGCAGUGGGGAAUAUUGCACAAUGGGCGCAAGCCUGAUGCGGCCAUGCCGCGUGUAUGAAGAAGGCCUUCGGGUUGUAUAGUACUUUCAGCGGGGAGGAAGGCGAUAAGGUUAAUAACCUUGUCGAUUGACGUUACCCGCAGAAGAAGCACCGGCUAACUCCGUGCCAGCAGCCGCGGUAAUACGGAGGGUGCAAGUGUUAAUCGGAAUUACUGGGCGUAAAGCGCACGCAGGCGGUCUGUCAAGUCGGAUGUGAAAUCCCCGGGCUCAACCUGGGAACUGCAUUCGAAACUGGCAGGCUAGAGUCUUGUAGAGGGGGGUAGAAUUCCAGGUGUAGCGGUGAAAUGCGUAGAGAUCUGGAGGAGUACCGGUGGCGAAGGCGGCCCCCUGGACAAAGACUGACGCUCAGGUGCGAAAGCGUGGGGAGCAAACAGGAUUAGAUACCCUUGUAGUC
RNAcentral lists this ribosomal RNA (464 nucleotides) under uncultured bacterium. RNAcentral describes it as "bacterial SSU rRNA". It matches the Rfam family "Bacterial small subunit ribosomal RNA", at positions 338 to 795 of the family's 1533-position model. The record is from RNAcentral.